CCGUUAUUCUUCUUCAAGCCAGGAUACAAUGUUUUCAGUUGUGGAAUUCACCUCAGAUCACAGUGUAGCUGUAAUUCCUGAUGCAUGGAAAGAAAAAUUAGACCAGGACAUCUAUUGCUACUGGCCACCCAACAAUGUCCAAAGUCUAUUAAAAAAAAGGACUUUGCCUGAUAAAAUAAAGUGGAACAGACUACAAGUCCACAGAGUUUUUAAAUCCUCAGUUGACUACAUGACAGCCCAUAAGCUCAUGAGAAAAGCUCAAAUCACCUCGUGUCCUGAACUCUCAGACUCCUCCAUCACUGAGAAAAGGCUAACCAGGCUGAAGAGACCACCUUACGCCUUUUAGAGUCAGAUAGUGAUAUCACAGAUAUUGAAGACAGUAAUAUCAACACCAGGCCACCAGCAAAAAUACCAACCCUUCCCUCUCCACCGAGAACAAUGGAACCAAGAAGGAACUCAUCCGAAACACCUGAGCCAUCACAGACAUGUGGAGGUCUUGACAGCUUGCCAAGAGCUGGAUUUUGUGGGGGCUACAGAGCAACUAUCAAUGCCGAUAGCACCCAUUCAAUGAGGCCACAACAUUUAGAUUUCUGCAAUACACCAAACUGGGAUGUCCAAAGUGAAGGACAUAGGGUUAUGGCACAUCAAUUUGAAGGCAAGAUACAUACAACUUUUUCUGGAAAAUGUCAUAGCCUACAGUCUCUUGCUCGAGACUAAUAAAAACGGAAGAGACACUGUAUCUCAAGUGAUUUCCAUGAGCGUGAUUCAAGACGGAGUGAACACAGACAAAGCACCAAGAAUGCAAGAAUGGAGUCAUUAACAUAAUUCAAAUGUGGAUCAACACCAACAUAGUAUGUUACUUAUCUUUGAUGCAAAAUUUGAUCAUGAUAGAGCACUAGUGGCUUUGAGUCUAUUUUGAAAACCUCAAAAUUUAUGAAGUGCUAUUGUGAAGUUUUGCAUACAAAUUUUACU
Long non-coding RNA from Onychostoma macrolepis, 972 nucleotides. RefSeq lists it as uncharacterized. The record is from RefSeq and is a predicted model, not a curated record. NCBI's taxonomy places the organism in Eukaryota, Metazoa, Chordata, Actinopteri, Cypriniformes, Cyprinidae. The transcript has 9 exons.